UACGAAGGGGGCUAGCGUUGUUCGGAAUUACUGGGCGUAAAGCGCACGUAGGCGGAUUUGUAAGUCAGGGGUGAAAUCCCGGGGCUCAACCUCGGAACUGCCUUUGAUACUGCGGAUCUCGAGUCCGAUAGAGGUGAGUGGAAUUCCUAGUGUAGAGGUGAAAUUCGUAGAUAUUAGGAAGAACACCAGUGGCGAAGGCGGCUCACUGGAUCGGUACUGACGCUGAGGUGAGAAAGCGUGGGGAGCAAACAGG
RNAcentral lists this ribosomal RNA (253 nucleotides) under uncultured bacterium. RNAcentral's name for it is "partial 16S ribosomal RNA". It matches the Rfam family "Bacterial small subunit ribosomal RNA", at positions 524 to 776 of the family's 1533-position model. The record is from RNAcentral.